This 253-nucleotide ribosomal RNA is filed under the name uncultured bacterium. RNAcentral's name for it is "partial 16S ribosomal RNA". It matches the Rfam family "Bacterial small subunit ribosomal RNA", at positions 524 to 776 of the family's 1533-position model. The record is from RNAcentral.
UACGUAGGUGGCUAGCGUUGUCCGGAUUUACUGGGCGUAAAGAGCGCGCAGGCGGUCGUUCAAGUCGAGUGUGAAAGCCCCCGGCUCAACUGGGGAGGGUCACUCGAUACUGAUCGACUCGAAGGCAGAAGAGGGUAGUGGAAUUCCCGGUGUAGUGGUGAAAUGCGUAGAUAUCGGGAGGAACACCAGUGGCGAAGGCGACUACCUGGCCUGUUCUUGACGCUGAGGCGCGAAAGCGAGGGGAGCAAACGGG